AGUGAAUCGGUGCAAGCGUAUUGGCGCUCCGAGGCCGGCCUUGAAGAAGGCUACUACGAGGCGAAAGUGGUCCUUCUUGCAAAAUCGAAGAGGGCACUUCUCGAGGAGAUGGCCCACAAGAAGCGACUGGUUAUUCCCCAGAUUUUUGAGGAACCAGUGCAAGCAUCAACAUCAGGUUCUGCGUCC
Long non-coding RNA from Ixodes scapularis (black-legged tick), 186 nucleotides. RefSeq lists it as uncharacterized. The record is from RefSeq and is a predicted model, not a curated record. NCBI's taxonomy places the organism in Eukaryota, Metazoa, Arthropoda, Arachnida, Ixodida, Ixodidae. The transcript has 3 exons.